RNAcentral lists this long non-coding RNA (2059 nucleotides) under Ornithorhynchus anatinus (platypus). Its description in RNAcentral is "lncRNA (ENSOANG00000040073.1)". Lineage: Eukaryota; Metazoa; Chordata; Mammalia; Monotremata; Ornithorhynchidae. The record is from RNAcentral.
UGAAAGCCCCAUGGACUGGAACCCUCGGAGCUUGGAGCUUGGACUGGGGCCGAGAAUCCUGAGUAGUGAGGGCCGGGGGGACGGGGAGAAGAAUGAGAAGCCCAGAGAGACCUGCCCCAGACCCCGCUGGAGAGGCCGUCUCUCCCCUAUCCUCUACCACGUCUGGGGAGUCGGAGGGGAGUCCCAGCCGGGAGCCAGGGAUCGCCCCGAGAUUUCUUUCCCCCAUCCCUUGUGCCGUUCCUUCUGGUUGCUAAGCAGAUCCUUCGGGUAACUACGUGGGCAGGAAAGUUCUGUAAGACGCCGGGGACCGCUUCCCCCAAAUGUCGUGGUGAAUGUGAAAUCGCUCCACUCACCUGUCACCGCGGCUCAGCCAGCCUCCAUCACUUCACGCCAGGCCCCAUGGGAGCAGCACCUUCCUGCAGGGAGAGAAAACAGUUUCGCCUGAUCCAGAACUUUCCUGGCUGACCCGUGAAAGCAGACUGGAUGCCAUCUAAAAUGGGGAGGCGCGGACAUUUCCACAUCACGGUGACAGCGGACUUUAGGGAAAUCAAGUAUAAUAACCAUCAUUUACAUAAUGAUUCUGUGGAUCAAGGCUCCAUGAUUUCAUUCCCUUUUAACCACUGUUUCCUGAGAAAACUUUGUGGCAAGCAAAGCGAGCUUUCUGGAAGACUCUGUCUGGAGGAGGUGGAUAAAUUGUUUCUUGGCUAUCUCCCACUUCCAACCCUGAAGCAACCUCUUUGCGAUAGCCUGCAAUUUCACCCAGGGAAGGGCUGAGGAGCUGAGAGGCAGAGGUUGCCAGGAUGGCAGUCAACAACAAAAGGCAAAAAAAAAAAGAAAAGAAAGGAAAAGAAAAAAUCAGCAUAAAAUGUGUUUUAGCUAGAUUUUCGCAAAACAUCCUUUCAAUUAUUAUCAUUCUCAUUCUCACUGUUAUUAUUGUUAUAUUUGUUGGGCACUUACUACACAUCAACCACUGUUCUAAGUAGUGGGUAAAUUCCUAUUAAUCAGGUCAAGCACAGUCCCUGUCCCACAUGGGGCUCUCAGUCUAAGCAGUGGGGAGAACAGGUACGGAACCCCCAUUGUAAUGUUGGUAUUUGUUAAGCGCUUACUAUGUGCCGAGCACUGUUCUAAGCGCUGGGGUAGAUACAGGGUAAUCAGGUGGUCCCACGUGAGGCUCACAGUUAAUCCCCAUUUUACAGAGGAGGUAAAUGAGGCACAGAGAAGUUAAGUGACUUGCCCACAGUCACACAGCUGACAAGUGGCAGAGCCGGGAUUCGAACUCAUGACCUCUGACUCCCAAGCCCGUGCUCUUUCCACUGAGCCACGCUACUUCUCUAACAGAUGAAGAAGCCGAGGUCCUGAGAAGUGAAGGGACUUUCCCAAGGUCACACGGCAGGCAAGCGGCAGAGCUGGGAUUACAGUCCAGGUCCCCUGACUCCCAGCCCCAGGUUCUAGCCACCGCUCCUCAUAUUGACAUGAGACCAGGGCGUUUCAAUCACAUUACACCGUGAAAACCAAGUAUUAUCGACAACUCUUACCUCUAGCUCUGCUCACAAACCACGCAGCCAUUUCUCCAGCAUCCAUGGGACGUGUGGAUAACCGAAACCUACAGAUAAUCCAACUCCCCCUCCCUUUACCCAGUGGCUGUUUGAUCCUUCUUCCUCUACACUGUAAACUCGUUGUGGGAAGGGAAUGUGUCUCUUUAUUGUUAUAUCGUGCUCUCCCAAGCAAUUAGUGCAGUGCUUUGCACACAGUAAGCGCUCAAUAAAUACCACUGACUGAUUUUUCCAGCUAAUUCUUUUCUGUCAGAGCUGCUAGCAAGUAGUGACCCUGAAUGGAGGCUCAACUCUUCCUUUAAACCCUGUAAAUCCCUUCUCCCCACAACCUGAUAAAAGGAAUUAAGGGACAGAGAAUAUAAAGCUCAGUCAUGGGCCUGAAAGGAAAUAAAAGAAUGAAGAGAACAGCGGAGGAGAAUGAGACUUUUUUUUCUAAAACUGUGGGAUGAGGUGAAGAGAAACGGUGUUGGGGUAAAGAGGUUUGGGGAUUAUCUGUGUUGAACGAG